ACUCAAUGCAAAUCUAAGAGAUUAGACGUUCCCUUCGGGGACAUGGAUACAGGUGGUGCAUGGUUGUCGUCAGCUCGUGUCGUGAGAUGUUGGGUUAAGUCCCGCAACGAGCGCAACCCUUAUUAUCAGUUGCCAGCAUUAAGUUGGGCACUCUGGUGAGACUGCCGGUGACAAACCGGAGGAAGGUGGGGAUGACGUCAAAUCAUCAUGCCCCUUAUGACCUGGGCUACACACGUGCUACAAUGGAUGGUACAACGAGUUGCGAACUCGCGAGAGUAAGCUAAUCUCUUAAAGCCAUUCUCAGUUCGGAUUGUAGGCUGCAACUCGCCUACAUGAAGUCGGAAUCGCUAGUAAUCGCGGAUCAGCAUGCCGCGGUGAAUACGUUCCCGGGUCUUGAACACACCGA
RNAcentral lists this ribosomal RNA (406 nucleotides) under Lactiplantibacillus plantarum. RNAcentral's name for it is "bacterial SSU rRNA". It matches the Rfam family "Bacterial small subunit ribosomal RNA", at positions 986 to 1393 of the family's 1533-position model. The record is from RNAcentral. Lineage: Bacteria; Bacillati; Bacillota; Bacilli; Lactobacillales; Lactobacillaceae.